Long non-coding RNA from Clupea harengus (Atlantic herring), 550 nucleotides. Lineage: Eukaryota; Metazoa; Chordata; Actinopteri; Clupeiformes; Clupeidae. The record is from Ensembl.
CUCACACACACACACACACACACACACACACACACACACACACACACACACACAUGGGCCGCUUUCCCAGUGGCUGCUCAUUGGUUCUGUGACAUCACAGAGGGGCGGGGCUUUGGAUGCCACUGGGACCACGCCCACACCAGAAGCCAAAGCUGUGAUGGCACACCUCUCUGACAAAGACGCGUGCCCUUCGCCAAGCCAAACCACCAAUCACAGAGAGAGAUGGAGAGAACAGCCCAUCAGAGAGCGAGGGGUGUGGAGAGAACAGCCAAUCAGAGGGGGAGAGAGGACAGAAACAGAUCUGGCAUAAGUGGGUGGCGAUUCAGUGAAAUGUGGUUCAGAUUGGUUUAGUUUCUGUUUUGGCGUGACGGGUAGAGGAUUGAGAUGAAAGAUUGGUUUAUUUCUGUUUUGGCGUGACGGCUAGAGGAUUGAGAUGAAAGAUGGAACCUGGUAAGUUGACGAACAGGUGGAGAAGGACAUGGAUUGAGAUGGAUCUGAAUGUGGAUGGGGUGAUGAAGAGAGAGAGAGGGAGGACUAGAGAGAGAGAGAG